GGACAGCGGCGUAAGGGACAGUAAAGUGUAGAUUAUCUGCCCUCGGGACCGGGAUAGCUGCGGGAAACUGCAGGUAAUACCGGAUAACAUCUCCGGAUCAAAGGUGUGAUUCCGCCCGAGGAUGAGUCUGCAUCCUAUUAGCUAGUUGGCAGGGUAAUGGCCUACCAAGGCUUUGAUGGGUAGCGGGUGUGAGAGCACGACCCGCGUCAUUGGGACUGAGACACUGCCCAGACACCUACGGGUGGCUGCAGUCGAGAAUCUUCGGCAAUGGGCGCAAGCCUGACCGAGCGACGCCGCGUGUGGGAUGAAGGCCUUCGGGUUGUAAACCACUGUUAGAGGGGAUGAAAUGCAGGUGGGUUCUCCCAUCUGUUUGACAUAGCCUCAGAGGAAGGACGGGCUAAGUUCGUGCCAGCAGCCGCGGUAAGACGAACCGUCCAAACGUUAUUCGGAAUCACUGGGCUUAAAGGGUGCGUAGGCGGCGCGGCAAGUUGGGUGUGAAAUACCUCGGCUCAACCGAGGAACUGCGCCCAAAACUGCCGUGCUCGAGGAAGAUAGAGGUGAGCGGAACUUAGGGUGGAGCGGUGAAAUGCGUUGAUAUCCUAAGGGAACACCGGUGGCGAAAGCGGCUCACUGGAUCUUUUUCUGACGCUGAGGGCACGAAAGCUAGGGUAGCGAACGGGAUUAGAUACCCCCGGGUAGUCCUAGCCGUAAACGAUGAGCACUGGAUUGCAGGGUCCUCCAUAGCCCUUCCAGUCGCAACGAAAGCGUUAAGUGCUCCGCCUGGGGAGU
Molecule: ribosomal RNA, 789 nt
Filed under: uncultured bacterium
Lineage: Bacteria
Description: bacterial SSU rRNA
Rfam family: Bacterial small subunit ribosomal RNA
Source: RNAcentral